CUACAGCCAUCCCUAGCGGACUCAACAGCAGGAGGCACCCCAUGUUUAUCGAUACUGUCGUACUGGCCGGCAUCGGCACAGUCGGGCUGAUGGUCGCGUUCUUCGCGGGUGUUGGUUACUUCAUCUGGAAAGACUCGCACAAGCGCAACAAGCUGCGCUGAGUCCGCAGGCAACAGGCACGCAAGGCAAUUUGGGCGACUUCGGUCGCCUUUUUUUGUG
Molecule: small RNA, 219 nt
Filed under: Pseudomonas sp. 21C1
Lineage: Bacteria; Pseudomonadati; Pseudomonadota; Gammaproteobacteria; Pseudomonadales; Pseudomonadaceae
Description: PhrS
Rfam family: PhrS
Source: Rfam by way of RNAcentral